Raphanus sativus (radish) is the source of this 319-nucleotide long non-coding RNA. RefSeq lists it as uncharacterized. The record is from RefSeq and is a predicted model, not a curated record. Lineage: Eukaryota; Viridiplantae; Streptophyta; Magnoliopsida; Brassicales; Brassicaceae. The transcript has 3 exons.
UUUUGACCUAAAGUAAAAAGUCGAAAGUCUUUUAUUGAUAUUUUCUUGUAACCAAAAACUAAAAGAAAGGUCAUCCGUCUCUUCCACUAUCCGGUAGAUCUCUCUCUCUCUCUUUCUAUAUCGAUCGAGUCUUUGUUGCUCGGGGGUUGAAUUAGAUUGAAAACAAAUGGAUGAAUCUCCUCUGGAGCAGCAGCAGCAACAAAGUCAAUCUCAUGGGCAAGAGAAGGAAAUAGUAGUAACUGAAGGUAGUGCCUUUGUGCAUGGUGAGCCUCCUCCUCCUUCUCAAGACGUUAGUGUUCCUCCCAAAGUUGAUAGCCAA